RNAcentral lists this ribosomal RNA (792 nucleotides) under uncultured crenarchaeote. RNAcentral's name for it is "bacterial SSU rRNA". It matches the Rfam family "Archaeal small subunit ribosomal RNA", at positions 85 to 879 of the family's 1478-position model. The record is from RNAcentral. Lineage: Archaea; Thermoproteati; Thermoproteota.
ACGGCUCAGUAACACGUAGUCAACCUAACCUAUGGACGGGAAUAACCUCGGGAAACUGAGAAUAAUGCCCGAUAGAACAUUAUGCCUGGAAUGGUUUAUGUUCCAAAUGAUUUAUCGCCGUAGGAUGGGACUGCGGCCUAUCAGUUUGUUGGUGAGGUAAUGGCCCACCAAGACUAUUACAGGUACGGGCUCUGAGAGGAGUAGCCCGGAGAUGGGUACUGAGACACGGACCCAGGCCCUAUGGGGCGCAGCAGGCGAGAAAACUUUGCAAUGUGCGAAAGCACGACAAGGUUAAUCCGAGUGGUUCCUGCUAAAGGAACCUUUUGUUAGUCCUAGAACCACUAACGAAUAAGGGGUGGGCAAGUUCUGGUGUCAGCCGCCGCGGUAAAACCAGCACCUCAAGUGGUCAGGAUGAUUAUUGGGCCUAAAGCAUCCGUAGCCGGCUCUGUAAGUUUUCGGUUAAAUCUGUACGCUUAACGUACAGGCUGCCGGGAAUACUGCAGAGCUAGGGAGUGGGAGAAGUAGACGGUACUCGGGAGGAAGUGGUAAAAUGCUUUGAUCUCUCGAUGACCACCUGUGGCGAAGGCGGUCUACUAGAACACGUCCGACGGUGAGGGAUGAAAGCUGGGGGAGCAAACCGGAUUAGAUACCCGGGUAGUCCCAGCUGUAAACUAUGCAAACUCAGUGAUGCAUUGGCUUGUGGCCAAUGCAGUGCUGCAGGAAGCCGUUAAGUUUGCCGCCUGGGAAGUACGUACGCAAGUAUGAAACUUAAAGGAAUUGGCGGGGGAGCAC